UUCCAGCUCCAGUAGCGUAUAUUAAAGUUGUUGCAGUUAAAAAGCUCGUAGUUGGAUUUCUGGCUUUAUAGAACUGACCCGCCACGUUAGUGUGUGAGUGUCGGCUUCUAUAUGCCAUCCUUCCACAGAACGUUUCUACUCUCGAUUGAGCCGGAUUCGCAAUGUGGAACUUUUACUUUGAAAAAAUUAGAGUGUUCAAAGCAGGCUUACGCUAUGAAUACAUUAGCAUGGAAUAAUAAUCUAGGACUUUGGUUCUAUUUUGUUGGUUUCUAGAACUGGAGUAAUGAUUGAUAGGGAUAGUUGGGGGUGCUAGUAUUCAGCGGCCAGAGGUGAAAUUCUUGGAUUCGCUGAAGACUAACUUAUGCGAAAGCAUUCACCAAGGAUGUCUUCAUUA
Molecule: ribosomal RNA, 394 nt
Filed under: Marimonadida sp.
Lineage: Eukaryota; Cercozoa; Imbricatea; Marimonadida
Description: partial small subunit ribosomal RNA
Rfam family: Eukaryotic small subunit ribosomal RNA
Source: RNAcentral